This is a long non-coding RNA of Cebus imitator (Panamanian white-faced capuchin), 435 nucleotides long. RefSeq lists it as uncharacterized. NCBI's taxonomy places the organism in Eukaryota, Metazoa, Chordata, Mammalia, Primates, Cebidae. The transcript is spliced from 2 exons. The record is from RefSeq and is a predicted model, not a curated record.
GGAAGAGGCCCCACCGUGAUUCCCACAGUUAGGGCACUCUGGGUGCUAGAAAUUCCCAAAGAGAACUGGAGCGGUUGACGUCCUGGGUCAGCAGUCCCUGCUGCCUGUGGGGCUUCCUGCGAGCCCACCCCCACCCUCUCUCCCCUCUCAGGUUCGACGGAUUCUCCCGGAGGCGCAGGACAGUGAUUUACAACAUACACAACCCGAAGCCAAAUGAACACCCCCUCCUUCCAUGACUCAGGGUGCAGGAGCAGUGAGAAGUUUGCAACCAAAAAUACUUUUAAUUUCCUUCAAACACGGAUGCUGCCGUCCAUUUGGAGUAGAAUUCAACAUCAUGGCUCCACCGGAGUUGCAAAAACCCCUGCCUAGAAUCUCUCCUGAUUCUAGGUGUCCAAACAAGCAACACUGAAUUAAACGGGGCCACCUCGAGCCUGA